CCUACGGGGGACAGCAGUGGGGAAUAUUGGACAAUGGGGGCAACCCUGAUCCAGCCAUGCCGCGUGUGUGAAGAAGGCCCUCGGGUUGUAAAGCACUUUCAGUGAGGAAGAACGCCUGGUGGUUAAUACCCAUCAGGAAAGACAUCACUCACAGAAGAAGCACCGGCUAACUCCGUGCCAGCAGCCGCGGUAAUACGGAGGGUGCGAGCGUUAAUCGGAAUUACUGGGCGUAAAGCGCGCGUAGGUGGCUUGAUAAGCCGGUUGUGAAAGCCCCGGGCUCAACCUGGGAACGGCAUCCGGAACUGUCAAGCUAGAGUGCAGGAGAGGAAGGUAGAAUUCCCGGUGUAGCGGUGAAAUGCGUAGAGAUCGGGAGGAAUACCAGUGGCGAAGGCGGCCUUCUGGACUGACACUGACACUGAGGUGCGAAAGCGUGGGUAGCAAACAGGAUUAGAUACCCCGGUAGUC
RNAcentral lists this ribosomal RNA (465 nucleotides) under Vreelandella stevensii. RNAcentral's name for it is "partial 16S ribosomal RNA". It matches the Rfam family "Bacterial small subunit ribosomal RNA", at positions 338 to 795 of the family's 1533-position model. The record is from RNAcentral. Lineage: Bacteria; Pseudomonadati; Pseudomonadota; Gammaproteobacteria; Oceanospirillales; Halomonadaceae.